RNAcentral lists this ribosomal RNA (518 nucleotides) under uncultured bacterium. RNAcentral describes it as "bacterial SSU rRNA". It matches the Rfam family "Bacterial small subunit ribosomal RNA", at positions 28 to 526 of the family's 1533-position model. The record is from RNAcentral.
GACGAACGCUGGCGGCGUGCCUAACACAUGCAAGUCGAACGGGGGAUAGCAAUAUCCCUAGUGGCGAACGGGUGAGUAACGCGUAGACAACCUGCCUUCUAGACGGGGACAACGUUCCGAAAGGGGCGCUAAUACCGGAUGAGGUCUUCGGGCUGCAUAGCCUGAAGAAGAAAGGUGGCCUCUAUAUAUAAGCUACCGCUAGAAGAUGGGUCUGCGUCUGAUUAGCUAGUUGGUGAGGUAACGGCCCACCAAGGCGACGAUCAGUAGCCGGUCUGAGAGGAUGAACGGCCACACUGGGACUGAGACACGGCCCAGACUCCUACGGGAGGCAGCAGUGGGGAAUCUUCCGCAAUGGACGAAAGUCUGACGGAGCAACGCCGCGUGAGUGACGAAGGUUUUCGGAUUGUAAAGCUCUGUCUUUUGGGACGAAUGUUACGCAUGUAAAUAAUGUGUGUAAAUGACGGUACCAGAGAAGGAAGCCACGGCUAACUACGUGCCAGCAGCCGCCGCAGUAAAAC